UUAAACAAGUUGUGAAGAUGAUGAAACUUCCAGAAUUCUACAGUAAGCUUGAAGAUGAUUUCACGUUAUGCAAACCUCUGAAACUUUACUCAGCAAUGGACAAAGCCUUUUUUCUAGAACGUUUGAUUUUUCCUGUUAAGACUGCUGUUCAGCUUAAUAAGAAUAAAAAGAACUAUAAGGGAGAACAGGUUUUUAUCAGCAUGGAUGACCUUUGUGACAUGAUGGCUAACACCUCACUGGGU
Long non-coding RNA from Loxodonta africana (African savanna elephant), 242 nucleotides. RefSeq lists it as uncharacterized. The transcript has 3 exons. NCBI's taxonomy places the organism in Eukaryota, Metazoa, Chordata, Mammalia, Proboscidea, Elephantidae. The record is from RefSeq and is a predicted model, not a curated record.